This 506-nucleotide ribosomal RNA is filed under the name uncultured bacterium. RNAcentral's name for it is "bacterial SSU rRNA". It matches the Rfam family "Bacterial small subunit ribosomal RNA", at positions 8 to 507 of the family's 1533-position model. The record is from RNAcentral.
AGAGUUUGAUCCUGGCUCAGAUUGAACGCUGGCGGCAUGCUUUACACAUGCAAGUCGAGCGGCAGGCGCGGGGGGCAACCCUGGCGGCGAGCGGCGAACGGGUGAGUAAUGCAUCGGAACGUGUCCCGUAGUGGGGGAUAACCCGGCGAAAGCCGGGCUAAUACCGCAUAUGCUCUACGGAGGAAAGGGGGGGAUCCGCAAGGACCUCUCGCUAUGGGAGCGGCCGAUGUCCGAUUAGCUUGUUGGUGGGGUAAUGGCUUACCAAGGCGACGAUCGGUAGCUGGUCUGAGAGGAUGAUCAGCCACACUGGGACUGAGACACGGCCCAGACUCCUACGGGAGGCAGCAGUGGGGAAUUUUGGACAAUGGGGCAACCCUGAUCCAGCCAUGCCGCGUGCGGGAAGAAGGCCUUCGGGUUGUAAACCGCUUUUAGUCGGGAAGAAGAGGCCUGGGCGAAUACCCUGGGUUUUGACGGUACCGGCGGAAUAAGCACCGGCUAACUACGUG